CUAGAAAGUAGAGGCGCACUGUUUUAAUAGUAAUCCGGAGUAGGGUGACUCCGUUGGUCUGAGCAUUUCAGCCAGUAAACCGGAUGAAAGGAAAAAGUGCCGAAGUGGAUACGAUGGUCAUGUCGGUCCGCUGGUGGUGCAUCGAAGAGGUGUACUACUGUCACGGUUUUUAACUGUGGAGAGCUACUGGAAGU
Molecule: non-coding RNA, 194 nt
Filed under: Endozoicomonas montiporae
Lineage: Bacteria; Pseudomonadati; Pseudomonadota; Gammaproteobacteria; Oceanospirillales; Endozoicomonadaceae
Description: Lysine sequence
Rfam family: Lysine riboswitch aptamer
About the family: Riboswitches are metabolite binding domains within certain messenger RNAs that serve as precision sensors for their corresponding targets.
Source: Rfam by way of RNAcentral